RNAcentral lists this ribosomal RNA (281 nucleotides) under Clostridium botulinum. RNAcentral's name for it is "partial 23S ribosomal RNA". It matches the Rfam family "Bacterial large subunit ribosomal RNA", at positions 1985 to 2264 of the family's 2925-position model. Lineage: Bacteria; Bacillati; Bacillota; Clostridia; Eubacteriales; Clostridiaceae. The record is from RNAcentral. RNAcentral also lists the same sequence under 1 other name.
GACCCGCACGAAUGGCGUAAUGAUUUGGGCACUGUCUCAACAGCAAAUCCGGCGAAAUUGUAGUGCAAGUGAAGAUGCUUGCUACCCGCGAUUGGACGGAAAGACCCCGUAGAGCUUUACUGUAGCUUAGCAUUGAAUCUCGGUAUUGUCUGUACAGGAUAGGUGGGAGACUUGGAAACUUGGGCGUCAGCCUGAGUGGAGUCAUCCUUGGGAUACCACCCUGACAGUACUGGGGUUCUAACCGGCGGCCAUGAAUCUGGUCACGGGACAUUGUUAGGUGG